UUGCCGUUUGGAUAUAUCCUAGCUGUGUUUGUGCCCUCACUCAUGGUCCAGACUUUUUUCAAAUAGGACAUGUAGUUUGUCUGCAGCGAGUGUUUUGGUAGAAACUGCGCCUCCCAUUCAUUAUAAUGGGAAAUGACCACAGACAAGUGCGCACACCAUCUUUGGACCUUGAGUGUGACGCGAUCGGGAGGGGUAGGCGGUCGCGCUGGGGGCGGCGCAACGCGGCUCGGGCCCGACAGUGCCCCACCGGGGUCCUAGUUAUUAUUUUUCCUCCGCUUUAAACUGGAAAAUGGCCCACUUCCCACUGGCGAAAACUCAUGAAAUUUGGCAGGACGACCGGGCCUGGUGAAAAAUUCGAUAUUCUGAAGUCACCCAAACAAUAAAAUGCAAAAUGGCUCCAUAGCGCCCCCUAAGGUGAAAAUUCACACUAUUGACUGUCACGCCUGUACGCUUUGUCAUAUUGACACAAAAAUUGACACACACAUGUAUGUCAAUAAGAUCUACAAAAAAUUCAGUGCGGGCGUAUCUGUCAAAUGUACGGUUAAAGGGUUAUUUCGCAUUUUUUGCCGAUCCGCACACAUUGGAAUUUCGCUAACUCCUCCGAAGGCUUUCGUUCCACCGGCACCACAUUUGCUCAGGCCAAUCUACACUCCAUGGCCAUUCAAAGUUGUACAAAUCAUGAUGCUGCACCCCAUGGUUUAGGUUCUAGGGGGCGCCAAAAAUAACCCAAAAAUCCACAUUCUUAAAAGUUUUAUAACUUUUUAUUUUUGUCCUCACUGGCCUCCAAGUUUUCUAGGAUGAUGCAAUGUCCAGCCAUCAACACAUUUGUGAAGGAAUUUUUACUCCCCAAAAGAGCGCCCCCCCAUGGCAGGACAAAAAAGUCAAUUUUUUCUUGUCCCCUAAGGUGAAAAUACACAUUGUUGAGAUUCACGCCUGUACGCUUUGUCAUAUUGACAAAAAAUUUGACACACACGUGUAUCUCAAUAAGAUCUACGAAAAAGUCAAUGCGCGCGUAUCUGUAAAAUGUGAGGCUAAACGGCUAUUUUGCAUUUUCUGCCGAUUCGCACACAUUGGAAUGUGGCUAACUCCUCCUAAGGCUUUCGUCCCACUGACACCAAAUUUGCUCAGGCCAAUCUACACCCCAUGGCCAUUCAAAGUUGUAAAAAUCAUGCCGCUGCACCCCAUGGUUUACGUUCUAGGGGGCGCCAAAGAUGACCCAAAUAUCCACAUUCUUAAAAGUCGUUUUGGCCACUGCAGGAGUACAGAGUACUGCAGGAUACACACACACAGACACACACACACACAGACACACACACACACUCACACACACACACACACACACACACACACACACACACACACACACAUACACACUCAGAGUCUGUUUUUCAGCACCUGCAAAAACAUGCUAUUUACAUAUUUGACAACAAUGCAGAGACUUCCUUUUGCCCCUGAAAAAAAUGAAAUUUCAAACACAACUUGACUGCUCAUUUCUCCAAAAGACAACCAUGAAGCUCCAUCCAAACCUGAAGCAGGCAGUUGGUGCAUGUGUACAGUAACCUGAGGGGAGUGAGGUGACUGCUUCUGAGGAGAACAUGAGCAGUCAAGAUUCACCUUGGAGCUAGAACAGGGACGUGCACAUGAUUAUACAGGGGCAGGGGCUCAAGUUUUUUCCAGUCGUUUAGACAAUAUGGAAAUUAAUGUGAAAUUAAAAAACAAAGUAUUAAUAGAAAGGUAAUGACUGUCCUGUGUAGGUGACAGUGAUAUCCAAUAGGCUAGGCACUCACGAGGCUGGCUGUGGCAAGUGCAAGUGAAAGCCACACGCACUGGCAGGAAGAACAGCAAACGCCGAUGAAGGAAAAGGGUUUUUGCAGUGAUGGGCGUUACCAGAGAGGACGAUGGCCAGAGGACGCGAAUGGGACGGGGAGGCAGCGCGUUGGGGGGGGGGGGGGGGGGGCGCGACACAGCUCGGGCCCGCCAGUGCCCCAACGGGGUCCUAGUUAUUAGGGCCCGAGCCAGCUGCAGAGCAGCCGGGCGUAGAGCCCUAUUAUUCCUGUAUAGGUUUUUCUUUCUUCUUUCUUUCUUUCUUUCUUCUUAUUUUUCCUCCCCUUUGAAGGGGAAAAUGGCCCACUUCCCACUGGCGAAAACUCAUGAAAUUUGGCAGGACGACCGGGCCUGGUGAAAAAUUCGAUAUUCUGAAGUCGCCCAAACAAUAAAAUGCAAAAUGGCUCCAAAGCGCCCCCUAAGGUGAAAAUUCACACUAUUGACUGUCACGCCUUUACGCUUUGUCAUAUUGACACAAAAAUUGACACACACAUGUAUCUCAAUAAGAUCUACAAAAAAGUCAGUGCGGGCGUAUCUGUCAAAUGUACGGUUAAAGGGUUAUUUCGCAUUUUUUGCCGAUCCGCACACAUUGGAAUUUCGCUAACUCCUCCGAAGGCUUUCGUUCCAACGGCACCACAUUUGCUCAGGCCAAUCUACACCCCGUGGCCAUUAAAAGUUAUCAAAAUCAUGACGCUGCACGCCACGGUUUACGUUCUAGGGGGCGCCAAAGAUAACCCUAAAAUCCACAUAUUUAAAAGUCUUAUAACUUUUUAUUUUUGUCCUCACUGGCCUCCAAGUUUUCUAGGAUGAUGCAAUGUCCAGCCAUCAACACAUUUGUGAAGGAAUUUUUACUCCCCAAAAGAGCGCCCCCCCAUGGCAGGAGAAAAAAGUCCAUUUUUUCUUGUCCCCUAAGGUGAAAAUACACAUUGUUGAGUGUCACGCCUAUACGCUUUGUCAAAAUGACACAAAAAUUGACACACACAUGUAACUCAAUAAGAUCUACGAAAAAGUCAAUGCGCGCGUAUCUGUCAAAUGUACGGUUAAAGGGUUAUUCCGCAUUUUUUGCCGAUCCGCACACAUUGGAAUGUGGCUAACUCCUCCUAAGGCUUUCGUUCCACCGGCACCACAUUUGCUCAGGACAAUCUACACCCCAUGGCCAUUAAAAGUUAUUCAAAUCAUGACGCUGCACCCCACGGUUUAGGUUCUAGGGGGCGCCAAAGAUAACCCUAAAAUCCAUAUAUUUAAAAGUCUUAUAACUUUUUAUUUUUGUCCUCACUGGCCUCCAAGUUUUCUAGGAUGAUGCAAUGUCCAGCCAUCAACACAUUUGUGAAGGAAUUUUUACUCCCCAAAAGAGCGCCCCCCCAUGGCAGGAGAAAAAAGUCCAUUUUUUCUUGUCCCCUAAGGUGAAAAUACAUAUUGUUGAGAUUCACGCCUAUACGCUUUGUCAUAUUGACACAAAAUUUGACAAUCACGUGCCUUGCCUGGUAUCACUUUUUUCAGCACAACCUCACCUGUGCGAAUUUACAGUUAUUUUUUCAUGUUGACAUACUGAAUUUACACAAUGGACCCAAAUUCACACACAAAACAUAAAAUCCGAGUGGAAAAAAGUAAAAUUUUUACUGUGAAAAUCACAAAUAUGUGUGAUGAACUGUUUUUAAAACUUAAACUUCAAAUAAAAAUUGUAAACUUCAAAACAUAUGCAAAUUUUUAACAAAGAACAUAGUGAUUUACCUCUAUUUACAUCAAAAUGCAGGCAAUGGCCCAGGCGUUCUUUGUAAAAUUAUUUACAAAACACUGUAUAGUCUCACAAAUGUCACUUUUUAUUUAUGCCACUACAAAAAAACAUGAUGUAAAUGAUGCAUGAUGUAAAACAUGAUGUAAAAAACUUGUGUAGAUCCUCCUCUAUGUCAGUCCAUGUGUAAUUUUUCCAUAAUUCUUUGUUUUUUGCAGCAUUUUUGUUAGUGUAACAGCAGAUUGUGCUGACAGUGUCUAUGGCACAAAAAAAAAAAAAAAAUUUAAAUGCCUCAACAUGAACCCCUGGUGGUCUCUGAGGGUGAAACCUGCUAACUGCUGCAGCUCUGUCAGCUUCAGUCUCCCAUGCAGAGCUCUGAGCGCAUGUGUGGCUCUGCACCCUUAGCAGCGUUGCUAACUCCUCAGUAAGGAAAGCCUGCUUCAUGUCAGAGUCUCUAAACUCCAGAAGAAGUCGAUAAAAGUCCCUUUCUUUCUAAAAAAAAAGUCGUUAGGGGGUCUGAAAAGUCAUUGAAUCUAACAACAAAGUCGCUAGGUUUGCAACUACGUGUCCCAGACUGCAUCCCUGCUGAGAGUCCCUCCCUCGCUUCUCAUGUUGCAGGAAGAACGUAAGCGCCCGCCCCUUGUCAAUCAGUCACCAUAUAAUUUUGGAUUGGUUGUUGUGGUGAAGUUUUCCACCAAUAGGAGAGAUGUUGUGGUGUGUUUUUUUUUUCUUUUGGCAAGCCUUUUCCGCCUGUAAGACCUGUCGCUAAUGUCUGCAUGCUAUGUUUUCCUGUCUCAUACAACGCGAUCGAGCGCCGAACGUGAUCAAAAUAAGCAGAAAAAAAGUAUCGCGGACAUAAUUUAUCAUAACUCUGGUUUUAUUUGGCCUAUCAACACAAUUUAAAAACUGGUAUAUAGGUUGAGGUCCUCACUUUUGAGAUAAGUUUAAACGGAGAGUUAACGAGGCUCCGUCUUGCAGCUACAUCCGGUUAAAUAUGUCAUGUGACUUGAACGCACACACAGACACACACACACGCACACACACACACACACUCAGAGUCUGGUUUUUAGCACCUGCAAAAACAUGCUAUUUACAUAUUUGACAAGAAUGCAGAGGCUCCUUUUGCCCCUGAAAAAAAUCAAAUUUCAAACACAACUUGACUGGUCAUUUCUCCAAAAGACAACCAUGAAGCUCCAUCCAAACCUGAAGCAGGCAGUUGGUGCAUGUGUACAGUAACCUGAGGGGAGUGAGGUGAGUGCUUCUGAGGAGAACAUGAGCAGUGAAGAUUCACCUUGGAGCUAGAACAGAGACAUGCACAUGAUUAUACAGGGGCAGGGGCUCAAGUUUUUUCCAGUCGUUUAUACAAUAUGGAAAUUAAUGUGAAAUUAAAACACAAAGUAUCAAUAGAAAGGUAAUGACUGUCCUGUGUAGGUGACAGUGAUAUCCAAUAGGCGAAGCACUCACGAGGCUGGCUGUGGCAAGUGUAAGUGAAAGCAACACGCACUGGCAGGAAGAACAGCAAACGCCAAUGAAGGAAAAGGGUCUUUGCAGUGAUGGGCGUUACCAGAGAGGGCGAUGGCCAGAGGACACAAAUGGGACGGGGAGGCAGCACGUUGGGGGGGGGACGCGACACGGCUCGGGCCCGCCAGUGCCCCAACGGGGUCCUAGUUAGGGCCCGAGCCAGCUGCAGAGCAGCCGGGCGUAGGCCCUAUUAUUCCCCAAGUGGUUUUUCUUUGUUUCUUUCUUUCUUUCUUUCUUUCUUCUUUUUCCUCCCCUUUGAACUGGAAAAUGGCCCACUUCCCACUGGCGAAAACUCAUGAAAUUUGGCAGGACGACCGGGCCUGGUGAAAAAUUUGAUAUUCUGAAGUCGCCCAAACAAUAAAAUGCAAAAUGGCUCCAUAGCGCCCCCUAAGGUGAAAAUUCACACUAUUGACUGUCACGCCUGUACGCUUUGUCAUAUUGACACAAAAAUUGACACACAUAUGUAUCUCAAUAAGAUCUACAAAAAAGUCAGUGCGGCUGUAUCUGUCAAAUGUACGGUUAAAG
Molecule: non-coding RNA, 5602 nt
Organism: Xyrichtys novacula (pearly razorfish)
Lineage: Eukaryota; Metazoa; Chordata; Actinopteri; Labriformes; Labridae
Source: the annotation of a GenBank genome assembly